UUGCAAUGAUGUAUGAAUUUCUUCACCUGAAGCUGAUUUGUGUGGAACAAAACUUGAGCUUUUUAACCCUGAGCAAU
Bufo bufo (common toad) is the source of this 77-nucleotide small nucleolar RNA. The record is from RefSeq and is a predicted model, not a curated record. NCBI's taxonomy places the organism in Eukaryota, Metazoa, Chordata, Amphibia, Anura, Bufonidae.